RNAcentral lists this transfer RNA (72 nucleotides) under Pseudomonadota bacterium. Its description in RNAcentral is "tRNA-Gly". It matches the Rfam family "tRNA". Rfam says of the family: Transfer RNA (tRNA) molecules are approximately 80 nucleotides in length. RNAcentral also lists the same sequence under 1 other name. The record is from RNAcentral. Lineage: Bacteria; Pseudomonadati; Pseudomonadota.
GCGGAUGUAGUUCAGUGGUAGAACACCACCUUGCCAAGGUGGGGGUCGCGAGUUCGAAUCUCGUCAUCCGCU